AACGAACGCUGGCGGCAUGCCUAACACAUGCAAGUCGAACGAGAUCUUCGGGUCUAGUGGCGCACGGGUGCGUAACGCGUGGGAAUCUGCCCUUUGGUUCGGAAUAACAGUUGGAAACGACUGCUAAUACCGGAUGAUGACGAAAGUCCAAAGAUUUAUCGCCAGAGGAUGAGCCCGCGGAGGAUUAGCUAGUUGGUGUGGUAAAGGCGCACCAAGGCGACGAUCCUUGGCUGGUCUGAGAGGAUGAUCAGCCACACUGGGACUGAGACACGGCCCAGACUCCUACGGGAGGCAGCAGUGGGGAAUAUUGGACAAUGGGCGAAAGCCUGAUCCAGCAAUGCCGCGUGAGUGAUGAAGGCCUUAGGGUUGUAAAGCUCUUUUACCCGGGAUGAUAAUGACAGUACCGGGAGAAUAAGCUCCGGCUAACUCCGUGCCAGCAGCCGCAGUAA
Molecule: ribosomal RNA, 449 nt
Filed under: uncultured bacterium
Lineage: Bacteria
Description: partial 16S ribosomal RNA
Rfam family: Bacterial small subunit ribosomal RNA
Source: RNAcentral